CCCACCAGCGCUCGCGACCUUCCAUCGUCGGUGCGUUCCUGCCAUGCCCUGUCCCUCCCCGCCUCACCACGCGCCGUCACCGCCUGCCCCAUCGGCGCACCUACCCCUAUCUCCGGAUUAAGUUGGGUCAAAGAGCGGGGAGGCUUUUGUUGCGAAUCCUUGCGGCAGCGGCGGGGCUUGCCGGCUGCAAGGCGGAGAAGGAGCGCGACAACAGGGUGGCUUGAGGCUCGUGGUGGACCGGAUCCAACGAGGAGAAGGUCGGAUUCAUCAGCUGGCGGCAUCGACAAGGGGUUUAACAAUGGUCAGAGGCAGCUCGCGUACUCCAUGGGGGGAUGCACGACUUCCCCUUCCGCAGAACGCUAACCUGCUUCCUCCCCCGCGCCCCUCCUCUUUACUUGAGCACAACAUGGCAGUGGCGGAUUGCUCUCAAAUACUGCUCCCAAUUCCUCUGUUUAUAGGGAAAAAAGUAGUAUGUCUGACCACGGUGGAAUUUAGUGCGUGCUCUCCUCUAUGCCCUAUAAUCCUCUUCAUAUUGAAUUGAAUCUGGGAAUCCAACCAUGGAAGAAACAUCCAUCUUCUGAUCUUUGUCUUGCCUCAAGUGCAAUUUCAGUUUGUCCAGUAGUGCUCUUGACAAAUUUCUACAAUGAAGAAUGAAAUACUAGGAGAUAGGCUACCAACUCGGUAAGAAUAUAGAUGUCAAGGAUCUGCC
RNAcentral lists this long non-coding RNA (709 nucleotides) under Hordeum vulgare. RNAcentral describes it as "long non-coding RNA (HVUL_LNC011378)". The record is from RNAcentral. Lineage: Eukaryota; Viridiplantae; Streptophyta; Magnoliopsida; Poales; Poaceae.